Molecule: non-coding RNA, 2392 nt
Filed under: Morganella morganii subsp. morganii KT
Lineage: Bacteria; Pseudomonadati; Pseudomonadota; Gammaproteobacteria; Enterobacterales; Morganellaceae
Description: Bacterial large subunit ribosomal RNA
Rfam family: Bacterial large subunit ribosomal RNA
Source: Rfam by way of RNAcentral
GGCGAAGCUUCUGAUCGAAGCCCCGGUAAACGGCGGCCGUAACUAUAACGGUCCUAAGGUAGCGAAAUUCCUUGUCGGGUAAGUUCCGACCUGCACGAAUGGCGUAAUGAUGGCCAGGCUGUCUCCACCCGAGACUCAGUGAAAUUGAACUCGCUGUGAAGAUGCAGUGUACCCGCGGCAAGACGGAAAGACCCCGUGAACCUUUACUAUAGCUUGACACUGAACAUUGAGCCUUGAUGUGUAGGAUAGGUGGGAGGCAGGGGGUGAAAGGCCAAUCAAACCGGGAGAUAGCUGGUUCUCCCCGAAAGCUAUUUAGGUAGCGCCUCGUGAAUUCAUCUCCGGGGGUAGAGCACUGUUUCGGCUAGGGGGUCAUCCCGACUUACCAACCCGAUGCAAACUGCGAAUACCGGAGAAUGUUAUCACGGGAGACACACGGCGGGUGCUAACGUUCGUCGUGAAGAGGGAAACAACCCAGACCGCCGGCUAAGGUCCCAAAGUCAUAAUUAAGUGGGAAACGAAGUGGGAAGGCUCAGACAGCCAGGAUGUUGGCUUAGAAGCAGCCAUCAUUUAAAGAAAGCGUAAUAGCUCACUGGUCGAGUCGGCCUGCGCGGAAGAUGUAACGGGGCUAAAUUAUGCACCGAAGCCGCGGCAGCGAUAUGUAAAUAUUGUUGGGUAGGGGAGCGUUCUGUAAGCCUGUGAAGGUGUGCUGUGAGGCAUGCUGGAGGUAUCAGAAGUGCGAAUGCUGACAUAAGUAACGAUAAUGCGGGUGAAAAACCCGCACGCCGGAAGACCAAGGGUUCCUGUCCAACGUUAAUCGGGGCAGGGUGAGUCGACCCCUAAGGCGAGGCUGAAAAGCGUAGUCGAUGGGCAACGGGUUAAUAUUCCCGUACUGGUGGUAACUGCGAAGGGGGGACGGAGAAAGCUAAAUCAUCCGGGCGACGGUUGUCCCGGUUUAAGCGUGCAGGUGGACUGACCAGGCAAAUCCGGUCGGUUGUUAACACUGAGGCGUGACGACGAGCCACUACGGUGGUGAAGUGAUUGAUGCUCUGCUUCCGGGAAAAGCCUCUAAGCUCCAGGUUACCAUUAAUCGUACCCCAAACCGACACAGGUGGUCAGGUAGAGAAUACUCAGGCGCUUGAGAGAACUCGGGUGAAGGAACUAGGCAAAAUGGUGCCGUAACUUCGGGAGAAGGCACGCUGGCAUUAGGUGAAGUGGUUUACCCACGGAGCUGAAGCCAGCCGCAGAUACCAGCUGGCUGCAACUGUUUAUUAAAAACACAGCACUGUGCAAACACGAAAGUGGACGUAUACGGUGUGACGCCUGCCCGGUGCCGGAAGGUUAAUUGAUGAGGUUAGCGUAAGCGAAGCUUCUGAUCGAAGCCCCGGUAAACGGCGGCCGUAACUAUAACGGUCCUAAGGUAGCGAAAUUCCUUGUCGGGUAAGUUCCGACCUGCACGAAUGGCGUAAUGAUGGCCAGGCUGUCUCCACCCGAGACUCAGUGAAAUUGAACUCGCUGUGAAGAUGCAGUGUACCCGCGGCAAGACGGAAAGACCCCGUGAACCUUUACUAUAGCUUGACACUGAACAUUGAGCCUUGAUGUGUAGGAUAGGUGGGAGGCAAUGAAGUGUGGACGCCAGUCUGCACGGAGCCAUCCUUGAAAUACCACCCUUUAACGUUUGAUGUUCUAACCCGGGUCCAUAAUCUGGAUCGGGGACCGUGUCUGGUGGGUAGUUUGACUGGGGCGGUCUCCUCCCAAAGAGUAACGGAGGAGCACGAAGGUUGGCUAAGCAUGGUCGGACAUCAUGCGGUUAGUGCAAAGGCAUAAGCCAGCUUGACUGCGAGAGUGACGGCUCGAGCAGGUACGAAAGUAGGUCUUAGUGAUCCGGUGGUUCUGAAUGGAAGGGCCAUCGCUCAACGGAUAAAAGGUACUCCGGGGAUAACAGGCUGAUACCGCCCAAGAGUUCAUAUCGACGGCGGUGUUUGGCACCUCGAUGUCGGCUCAUCACAUCCUGGGGCUGAAGUAGGUCCCAAGGGUAUGGCUGUUCGCCAUUUAAAGUGGUACGCGAGCUGGGUUUAGAACGUCGUGAGACAGUUCGGUCCCUAUCUGCCGUGGGCGCUGGAAGAUUGAGAGGGGUUGCUCCUAGUACGAGAGGACCGGAGUGAACGCACCACUGGUGUACGGGUUGUGAUGCCAAUUGCAUUGCCCGGUAGCUAAGUGCGGAAGAGAUAACCGCUGAAAGCAUCUAAGCGGGAAACUUGCCUCGAGAUGAGUCUUCCCUGACCCUUUAAGGGUCCUGAAGGAACGUUUGAGACUAAGACGUUGAUAGGCUGGGUGUGUAAGCGCAGCGAUGCGUUGAGCUGACCAGUACUAAUGAACCGUGAGGCUUAACCUG